This 459-nucleotide ribosomal RNA is filed under the name uncultured bacterium. Its description in RNAcentral is "partial 16S ribosomal RNA". It matches the Rfam family "Bacterial small subunit ribosomal RNA", at positions 338 to 795 of the family's 1533-position model. The record is from RNAcentral.
CCUACGUGAGACAGCAGUGAGGAAUAUUGGUCAAUGGACGAGAGUCUGAACCAGCCAAGUAGCGUGAAGGAUGACUGCCCUAUGGGUUGUAAACUUCUUUUAUAAAGGAAUAAAACGAGGCACGUGUGCCUUUUUGCAUGUACUUUAUGAAUAAGGAUCGGCUAACUCCGUGCCAGCAGCCGCGGUACUACGGAGGAUCCGAGCGUUAUCCGGAUUUAUUGGGUUUAAAGGGUGCUAAGGCGGAUUUUUAAGUCAGCGGUAAAAUCUUGGGGCUCAACCCCAUCAAGCCGUUGAAACUGGGGAUCUAGAGUGUGCGAGAGGUAUGCGGAAUGCGUGGUGUAGCGGUGAAAUGCAGAGAGAUCACGAAGAACCACGAUUGCGAAGGCAGCAUACCGGUGAACAACUGACGCUCAGGCACGAAAGCGUGGGUAUCGAACAGGAUUAGAUACCCGUGUAGUC